RNAcentral lists this ribosomal RNA (395 nucleotides) under uncultured bacterium. Its description in RNAcentral is "bacterial SSU rRNA". It matches the Rfam family "Bacterial small subunit ribosomal RNA", at positions 29 to 431 of the family's 1533-position model. The record is from RNAcentral.
AACGAACGCUGGCGGCGUGCCUAACACAUGCAAGUCGAACGAGAAAGCCCUUCGGGGUGAGUAGAGUGGCGCACGGGUGAGUAAUGCAUGGGAACAUACCUUCAGGUGGGGGAUAACAGUUGGAAACGACUGCUAAUACCGCAUGGUCUCUUCGGAGUAAACGAGGCCUCUACUUGUAAGCUACGGCCUGAAGAUUGGCCCAUGUCGCAUUAGCUAGUUGGUGAGGUAAUGGCUCACCAAGGCGACGAUGCGUAGCUGGUCUGAGAGGAUGAUCAGCACACUGGAACUGAGACACGGUCCAGACCCUACGGGAGGCAGCAGUGGGGAAUUUUCCGCAAUGGGCGAAAGCCUGACGGAGCAAUCGCGUGAGGGAUGACGGCCUAUGGUUGUAAACC